AUACGUAGGGGGCGAGCGUUGUCCGGAAUUCUUGGGCGUAAAGGGCGCGUAGGCGGCCUGUUAAGUCUGGAGUGAAAGUCCUGUGUUCAAGAUGGGAAUGGCUUUGGGUACUGCUGGGCUUGAGUGCAGGAGAGGUUAUCGGAAUUCCCGGUGUAGCGGUGAAAUGCGUAGAGAUCGGGAGGAACACCAGUGGCGAAGGCGGGUAACUGGACUGCAACUGACGCUGAGGCGCGAAAGUGUGGGGAGCAAACAGGAUUAGAUACCCUGGUAGUCCACACCGUAAACGAUGAAUACUAGGUGUAGGGGGUAUCGACUCCCUCUGUGCCGCAGUUAACGCAAUAAGUAUUCCGCCUGGGGAGUACGGCCGCAAGGUUGAAACUCAAAUGAAUUGGCGGGG
RNAcentral lists this ribosomal RNA (397 nucleotides) under uncultured bacterium. RNAcentral's name for it is "partial 16S ribosomal RNA". It matches the Rfam family "Bacterial small subunit ribosomal RNA", at positions 523 to 918 of the family's 1533-position model. The record is from RNAcentral.